RNAcentral lists this unclassified non-coding RNA (1238 nucleotides) under Zea mays. RNAcentral describes it as "misc RNA Zm00001eb131950". The record is from RNAcentral. Lineage: Eukaryota; Viridiplantae; Streptophyta; Magnoliopsida; Poales; Poaceae.
GUUCGGAUGGCGCCCCCAGUCCCCGCUCCUCUCUGCCGCUCCUACGGUGCCCGACCAACUCCCUGCUCCAAAUUUCCUCUGCGCCGGCCACCUGGGAGGAUCGAGCUCGCCCCUCCGUGCCCAGCCAGCACCUGCGCGCCGCGAUUUCCUCUCCAUCUCCCUCAAGCUCGUCGAGCGGUUCUUCCCCCAGCGCAUCCUCUGCCCUGGUCGACGUUUCUCUCUCUCCUCGCCUCGCCCAUGGCCGAGCGCUCCUCUGCUCGGAUCUCGCCCGUCCGCGCUCAGCCUCUGCUACCAGUUCCUCAUGGCGCCCGGCCAAGUUUCUCUGCGCGCCGUGCUCUCUGCUCUCCCUGUGCAGCUCCCUGGUCCUUGCUUCUUUCUUUCUAUACUCAUCCCCAAGAUGCAUCCUGGACUUUGAGUUCGUCAUCUUCAACCUUGGUCCAAGCCACUCGCUCUCUGCCGCGCGCCAUGGAAUUCUCUGCGAGCUCAUCGCCCUUCCUGCUCCAUUUUUCCUAGCGCGUCACCGAUUCUCCUUGCUCCCUGCGCCGCGGUUUCUCAGCUCGCCGCCGUCGCCGCGUUCUGCUCGGUUCCGUUUGCCGCGCCCCUGCGCUCGUCGCGGUGCUCCAACUCGGAUUCAGUCCUGCGCGCAACCGCUUUUCAUCUCCCUGCUUAGCUCGCCGCGCCGAACUGCCCAGCGCCGCGCGCCUAGCUCAGCCGUCUCUAGCUCGCCUUGCUCCCUGUCGUCGCUCAACUUGCCGGCAUGCGUCCAACUCCAUACGCGCCCAGCGCCGUGCGCCGGGCGCGCGAAGCUCUCUGUUCGUCGUUAUCGCUCGGUCGCACGACAGACUGAUUGCGUGUCGUGUGUCGCACAUCCUAGGUCCUCGUCGUCGUAUCGUGCGUGCAACAGUCCCAGAUUUGUGCCGCCCCGGCCUUGUUGUCGACAUCGCUCGCCGUAGCUCAGCUUGCUAGUUCGUCGUGCCGCGUCGUGUGUCGAUAUUCUCUUCCGGUAGGCCUCGCCGUCGACCAUGUUCAAGUGAUUGUUUGGCUCCUCGCAUCCCGCCUAUUCAAUAAAACACCCAAAUCCAUAGACUGUCGACACACUGUUGCCAUACGCGGCUGUCUCCGUCACUUGCGUCAGCUCGCCAGACCUACAGCUCCAUAUAUGUCACUCUCCCGUAUCGUCGUCGAGCCCGACGAACCUCGUUCUUUUCUGCUCGAUCUCGUCGAACCACGAAUCCCGG